This 127-nucleotide small RNA is filed under the name Marmota monax (woodchuck). The record is from RNAcentral. Lineage: Eukaryota; Metazoa; Chordata; Mammalia; Rodentia; Sciuridae.
GCUGGGCAUGGUAGUGCACAUCUGUAAUCCCAGCAACUCAGGAGGCUGAGGCAAGAGGAUUGCAAGUUUUAGGCCAGCCUCAGCAACUUAAUGAAGCACUAAGCAAUUUAGUGAGACCCUGUCUCAA